RNAcentral lists this ribosomal RNA (497 nucleotides) under uncultured bacterium. Its description in RNAcentral is "partial 16S ribosomal RNA". It matches the Rfam family "Bacterial small subunit ribosomal RNA", at positions 28 to 507 of the family's 1533-position model. The record is from RNAcentral.
GAUGAACGCUGGCGGCGUGCCUAAUACAUGCAAGUCGAGCGAACGGACGAGAAGCUUGCUUCUCUGAUGUUAGCGGCGGACGGGUGAGUAACACGUGGAUAACCUACCUAUAAGACUGGGAUAACUUCGGGAAACCGGAGCUAAUCCCGGAUAAUAUUUUGAACCGCAUGGUUCAAAAGUGAAAGACGGUCUUGCUGUCACUUAUAGAUGGAUCCGCGCUGCAUUAGCUAGUUGUUAAGGUAACGGCUUACCAAGGCAACGAUGCAUAGCCGACCUGACAGGGUGAUCGGCCACACUGGAACUGAGACACGGUCCAGACUCCUACGGGAGGCAGCAGUAGGGAAUCUGCCGCAAUGGGCGAAAGCCUGACGGAGCAACGCCGCGUGAGUGAUGAAGGUCUUCGGAUCGGAAAACUCUGUUAUUAGGGAAGAACAUAUGUGUAAGUAACUGUGCACAUCUUGACGGUACCUAAUCAGAAAGCCACGGCUAACUACGUG